UACGGGGGGGGCAAGCGUUGUUCGGAAUUACUGGGCGUAAAGGGCGCGUAGGCGGCCUGCUAAGUCGGACGUGAAAUCCCUCGGCUCAACCGAGGAACUGCGUCCGAUACUGGUGGGCUUGAAUCCGGGAGAGGGAUGUGGAAUUCCAGGUGUGGCGGUGAAAUGCGUAGAUAUCUGGAGGAACACCGGUGGCGAAGGCGGCAUCCUGGACCGGUAUUGACGCUGAGGCGCGAAAGCUAGGGUAGCAAACGGG
Molecule: ribosomal RNA, 253 nt
Filed under: uncultured bacterium
Lineage: Bacteria
Description: partial 16S ribosomal RNA
Rfam family: Bacterial small subunit ribosomal RNA
Source: RNAcentral